CGGCCUAUGGCAGCUGACCACAGGCAACCCAAGUCACCGGUCAGGGAUGGGCUUGGAGAGACGAAAACCGCUAGGCCCUGCUGUGAUGCACAUUAACAACCGGGAUCGGUGCCCGAAUUCACAUAAAAGCAGCGUGGAUUCUUGACCUUGCUGCUCAGAGUCGCGCAGCACAGCGUUGCUAUUGGCCAGCCCCCAAACCCUCUCCGUCAGAUCUUUGAAACGAGCCUCUGGAAGCUGACGGUAUCUCAGGAUCCUGGUCCUUCAGUACCCUCUGGUGGUAGCUUUGUGCCAUUGCAGCAGCUCAUAACUUUAAGUUGACCUACAGUCCCUUGCCCUGACAGAGACAACUUGUUAUUGUGUCAUGGUGCCUCCUGGAAUUUAGUCCCAGCCUAUUGGCUUAAAGAUACAGCCAACCAUCGGACUGAACCCAGGGACCCAAAUGGAACGGUUAGGAGAAGGGCUAAAGGAGCUCAAGAUUGCAGUCCCAUAGGAAGAACAACAAUCUCAACUAACUGGAUCCCCCAGAGCUUCCAGACUGUGCGUAGGGUCAAAUGCAGGAAUUGUAAUCAAGAACGAAGCAUUCAUCUAUGAUGUGUGGAAAUAGCUGGCAGAAGUCAGGUCCUUGGCGAUGUCUCUCUUGAUCUUCAUCCUGGGCCUUGGUGAAGAAAACCAUUUCUGUUACGUAUUCCCACACGUGUGAGCCACUCCUCUGGGUCUUCCCCACCACGAUGGACCGACACUUCUGAGAGAGUGAAUAAAAAGGAAUGUUUCCAAGAUGCUUGGGUCAGGUGUUAUAGUUACGGUGGUGCGAGACAAUUACAUGAAAACAGGAAACAGCAAACUGGUGGUCUCAGCUGUCCUGAUUGUCAAGAAUAAGAUAGGAUACUGCCUGAUGCUGGGAUAUUCAGGGCACACAUUCUCCAAUGACUUGAUUCCUAGCUUAAAGCACAGCUUGGAGACACUUGGGAAGUAGAGUAUAGUAGAGGGGAUAGGUCAUUAGGUCUUUGAAGCUUACAUCCUCUUCCAUUUCUGAGGGUCUAGUCAGUGUGAGCCUCAUGGUCCCAUUGUUGCAGGUUGGCCUCCUGCACUUUUCUGGCCACGAAGAUCUACAGAUAUCUGAAGUUUAAUGAUACCAAAUAUAUCACUCAUUUUAAUGCUUCUGCUGAGAAUUCCAUUACAGUGAUCAGAAAA
Molecule: long non-coding RNA, 1191 nt
Organism: Mus pahari (shrew mouse)
Lineage: Eukaryota; Metazoa; Chordata; Mammalia; Rodentia; Muridae
Exons: 5
Source: RefSeq, a predicted model, not a curated record